UCAUGUUUUUUCAGACUUGAUGACACACUGAAUCUCUUGUCACAUUGUGAACACUUGUAAGGUUUCUCUCCAGUGUGAAUCCUCUCAUGUGUUAUCAGAUUUGAUGACACACUAAAUCUCUUGUCACAGUGUGAACACUUGUAAGGUUUCUCUCCAGUGUGAAUCCUCUCAUGUGUUAUCAGACUUGAUGACACACUGAAUCUCUUGUCACAGUGUGAACACUUGUAAGGUUUCUCUCCAGUGUGGAUCCUCUCAUGUGUUUUCAGAUUUGAUGACACACUAAAUCUCUUGUCACAGUGUGAACACUUGUAAGGUUUCUCUCCAGUGUGGAUCCUCUCAUGGGUUUUCAGACUUGAUGACACACUGAAUCUCUUGUCACAGUGUGAACACUUGUAAGGUUUCUCUCCAGUGUGAAUCCUCUCAUGUGUUUUCAGCUCUAUUGACUGACUGAAUCUCUUGUCACAGUGUGAACACUUGUAAGGUUUCUCUCCAGUGUGGAUCCUCUCAUGUGUUAUCAGAUUUGAUGACACACUGAAUCUCUUGUCACAGUGUGAACACUUGUAAGGUUUCUCUCCAGUGUGAAUCCUCUCAUGUGUUUUCAGAUCUAUUGACUGACUGAAUCUCUUGUCACAUUGUGAACACUUGUAAGGUUUCUCUCCAGUGUGAAUCCUCUCAUGUGUUUUCAGAUGUGUUAACCGACUGAAUCUCUUGUCACAGUGUGAACACUUAUAAGGUUUCUCUCCAGUGUGGAUCAUCUCAUGCGUUUUCCGAUAUGCUCGACGAAUGAAUCUCUUGUUACAGUGUGAACACUUAUAAGGUUUCUCUCCAGUGUGCAUCAUCUCAUGCGUUUUCCGAUCUGCUCG
This is a long non-coding RNA of Carassius gibelio (silver crucian carp), 863 nucleotides long. RefSeq lists it as uncharacterized. NCBI's taxonomy places the organism in Eukaryota, Metazoa, Chordata, Actinopteri, Cypriniformes, Cyprinidae. The record is from RefSeq and is a predicted model, not a curated record. The transcript has 5 exons.